Molecule: ribosomal RNA, 496 nt
Filed under: uncultured bacterium
Lineage: Bacteria
Description: partial 16S ribosomal RNA
Rfam family: Bacterial small subunit ribosomal RNA
Source: RNAcentral
AUUGAACGCUGGCGGCAUGCCUUACACAUGCAAGUCGAACGGUAGAGGGGGCAACCUCUCGAGAGUGGCGAACGGGUGAGUAAAGCAUCGGAACGUGCCCAGUAGUGGGGGAUAGCCCGGCGAAAGCCGGAUUAAUACCGCAUGAGACCUACGGGUGAAAGGGGGGGAUCGCAAGACCUCUCGCUAUUGGAGCGGCCGAUGUCAGAUUAGGUAGUUGGUGGGGUAAAGGCCUACCAAGCCGACGAUCUGUAGCUGGUCUGAGAGGACGACCAGCCACACUGGGACUGAGACACGGCCCAGACUCCUACGGGAGGCAGCAGUGGGGAAUUUUGGACAAUGGGCGAAAGCCUGAUCCAGCCAUGCCGCGUGCGGGAAGAAGGCCUUCGGGUUGUAAACCGCUUUUGUCAGGGAAGAAAUCCUUUGAGUUAAUACCUCGGGGGGAUGACGGUACCUGAAGAAUAAGCACCGGCUAACUACGUGCCAGCAGCCGCCGUAA